UAUUGUAAAUAUUAUACCACUUGAUAUCAUUUUAUUUUCAGUGCACAAUAAACUCAGAAAACUUUCCAUCCGUCAUACUUUGAAAUGGGUCACAGUUUUAUCUAAAUUGAACUACUCGACAAAAAAUAACUGCUCGACUGUCAAAUUUUACCUAAAAGUUAAAAUAAUUGACGAGAUGGUCCACGGCCUUAGGAAUUACUUGCGGCAGCAGUAAGGUGGACAUGCAGCGCGAGUGUUAAAAGAGAAACUAGCCCUCUAAGAACUAAGCGCCGAGUGGAUGUGAUAUUUAGCUUACGGACCAACAACGACCAGUUUCUUUUCUUCAGUUAAUUUUGAUUGUUAUCAUUUUGAGAUGAGUAAAAAAAAGUUUCAUAAAAAAACAAGGUUAAUCAAAUAAUCACCGUGUGUAAAUUGUAAUAACUGCGAAAGUUUUCAUUUGUUUGUCAACCCCUCCCAAACGGGGGUCGUUUUGUUUUUUUUU
Malaya genurostris is the source of this 481-nucleotide long non-coding RNA. RefSeq lists it as uncharacterized. The record is from RefSeq and is a predicted model, not a curated record. The transcript is spliced from 2 exons. NCBI's taxonomy places the organism in Eukaryota, Metazoa, Arthropoda, Insecta, Diptera, Culicidae.